UCUUCAAGCUCAGAUGGAGCUGAACCUCCCCCCACCUCUCAUGAUUCUUCAUCUUCUUUGAGUGGAGAUCGUGCAGGAGAGGCUGAUGAAGACUAUGUUCCACCAGUUCCUUUGAGGUCUUCAGGGCGUGGAAGAGCUCCAGCCCCAAAAAGAACAACAACCACACACAAAAAGGC
Long non-coding RNA from Poecilia latipinna (sailfin molly), 176 nucleotides. RefSeq lists it as uncharacterized. The record is from RefSeq and is a predicted model, not a curated record. The transcript has 2 exons. NCBI's taxonomy places the organism in Eukaryota, Metazoa, Chordata, Actinopteri, Cyprinodontiformes, Poeciliidae.